This is a non-coding RNA of Malassezia nana, 82 nucleotides long. Lineage: Eukaryota; Fungi; Basidiomycota; Malasseziomycetes; Malasseziales; Malasseziaceae. The record is from the annotation of a GenBank genome assembly.
AGUCCAAUAGUUUAGUGGUUAUGACGUAUCCUUCACAGCGCGACGCUCGGAUAAGAUCCCGGUUCGAUUCCGGGUUGGACUA